GUUUUGCUGGCUCCGACACUGACAUCCGAUUCUAUACCAGAUUUCCAAGCUAUGAUCAUUUGAUGGCAUUUUGGUUUUUGAUUGAGCCUUGCAUCUAUAAAAUGAUCCGGGUUUCAAGAGCCAAGUCAGCUGCCAAUAGGAACGAAGAAGUGUUGACACCUGCACGCACAUCAACGAGGCAGCUGCUACAGCCAAUUGACGAGUUCUUUCUUUUCCUGGUUUUCCUGUCAGUUGGUUUGAAGGAGAGGGACCUGGCACACCGAUUUAACAUACACCAGUCCACAGUGAGCCGCAUUAUUGCAACAUGGACAAAUUUU
Long non-coding RNA from Oreochromis aureus, 317 nucleotides. RefSeq lists it as uncharacterized. NCBI's taxonomy places the organism in Eukaryota, Metazoa, Chordata, Actinopteri, Cichliformes, Cichlidae. The transcript has 3 exons. The record is from RefSeq and is a predicted model, not a curated record.